ACGACCCUUAGCGAAGGAUGUCUUGGUUCCGGCAACGAUGAAGAACGCAGCGAAAUGCGAUAAGUAAUGCGAAUUGCAGAAUUCAGUGAAUCAUCGAAUCUUUGAACGC
Molecule: ribosomal RNA, 109 nt
Filed under: Lotharella globosa
Lineage: Eukaryota; Cercozoa; Chlorarachniophyceae
Description: 5.8S ribosomal RNA
Rfam family: 5.8S ribosomal RNA
About the family: 5.8S ribosomal RNA (5.8S rRNA) is a component of the large subunit of the eukaryotic ribosome.
Source: RNAcentral